ACAGGUAUGAUAUGAAAAUACUAAUUACAACUUAAAAUAAGACACAAUAAUAAAAGACUCCACAAGAUUGUCAUAUCAAAACGAUUUAUUCAAAUCUCUUGGUAACUUUAUGCUGCAUCGAAGUUAGUAUACAACACUAACUCAUGGCAAUUGAACAACAUGAUCAGCGGUUGGAUUUGGGGGAAUAGGGCAACCACAACCUGCUUUGCAUUUUAAAUAUGUUUCAAAGCAAGGUCCUUGAUCAAAGGCAGAACAACAAUAACACAAAUUAUUUUUGCAGUUGAGUGGAUCAUAUAGAAGGCAUGUGCAUGUUUGCCACUUGUUUCCAUCUAGCUGGUUGGUACCUUGAGCUGCAUACAUAAAUUCAGGGGCUUAGGUUAACUUCUUAUCUUGUUUUCUGACAUAAAAUUAAUUUGAAACAACCAAAAUUUAUGAUUAGAUUUGCUUAAAUUGUUCACAGUGCACUUACAUUGGGUAAGAACGGUGAUACAUCCAAGGAUAAUCAUCGCAAAGACUACUACCCUGCUGCCCGCCAUCAUAAACUUCAACAUACACCACGCGUAUAUAUAUCUAUAUCACUCUCUCUAUUUGGUGAUUGCUUUUUGUCAGCUUG
This 613-nucleotide long non-coding RNA is filed under the name Triticum aestivum (bread wheat). Its description in RNAcentral is "long non-coding RNA (TAES_LNC022723)". The record is from RNAcentral. Lineage: Eukaryota; Viridiplantae; Streptophyta; Magnoliopsida; Poales; Poaceae.